RNAcentral lists this non-coding RNA (118 nucleotides) under Cyclophora tenuis. The record is from RNAcentral. Lineage: Eukaryota; Bacillariophyta; Fragilariophyceae; Cyclophorales; Cyclophoraceae.
AAAAAGUGAGACAAACAACGUUAUUGGAAAGAUGAAUGGAUUCUUUUCUUUUCUUGUCUUUUGUGUUUCACCAAGGUUUCUUUUGUUUCCUUUUUUCUUUUCCUUUUUUCUUUAAAUU